This 774-nucleotide ribosomal RNA is filed under the name uncultured Neocallimastigales. RNAcentral describes it as "partial large subunit ribosomal RNA". It matches the Rfam family "Eukaryotic large subunit ribosomal RNA", at positions 20 to 616 of the family's 3401-position model. The record is from RNAcentral. Lineage: Eukaryota; Fungi; Neocallimastigomycota; Neocallimastigomycetes; Neocallimastigales.
UACUAGAGUAGCACUCGCAUAUCAAUAAGCGGAGGAAAAGAAACUAACAAGGAUUCCCCUAGUAACGGCGAGUGAAGCGGGAAGAGCUCAAAUUUGAAAUCUUAAAGGGUUUCCCUUUACGAAAUGUAGUUUAAAGAAGUGUUUUCUGUUGAGGUUUUGGUAAAAGUUCUUUGGAAUAGGACAUCAUAGAGGGUGAGAAUCCCGUAUUUGACCUUUACUUUCAACUUUGUGAUACACUUUCAAAGAGUCGGAUUGUUUGGGAAUGCAGUCCUAAAUGGGUGGUAAAUUUCAUCUAAAGCUAAAUAUUGGCGAGAGACCGAUAGCGAACAAGUACCGUGAGGGAAAGAUGAAAAGAACUUUGAAAAGAGAGUUAAACAGUACGUGAAAUUGUCAAAAGGGAAGCGUUUGACACCAGUGUUGUUUUUCUGAAAAUCAAUUAAAGAACUGUUUAUGCUAAGCUGUUUAGACUUUAUCAGCUAUCUGUUUAGUUUUGAGCUUUUCUUUAAUGCACUUUUCAGUUAACAAGUCAACAUCAAUUUCUUUUGCUGUAAAAAAGCUUGAGGAAGGUGGCUUGAGAUUCGUCUUAAGUGUUUAUAGCCUCUUGCCUAUGCAGUCGGAGAGAUUGAGGUCUGCAGCGUAGAUCCUUCGGGGCUAAAUGCAUUUGUGCUAAGUUAUAGCAUUUUAUAGACAACUUGUUGACUAUGAUUUGUCUUGUAGCUUACUCGCUUAUGUUAUUUUACCUACGCUUAGGAUGUUGAGCGCAUGUCUCUCUCU